CCUCGUCCGUCUGCAUGGCCGACUGCAUUAAACAUAAGCGGCUUUACUUGAUAGGGCUCCAUCCAGCUUUAAUUACCGCAAAGUCUGCGGACGGCGCUCUGCACAACAAGUGAGGAAAAAGACUCGCCUGUGGGAGUAAUGCCGUAACUGCGGCAUUGAAUAGCGAAAUCCAAUAUGAAUGGUGGCUGUGAUUAUUGCAAGAAUGGACUCAAAAGGAGAAGAGUCGUGAGGGUUGUGAUGAUGGAUGUGCUGCACUUCUUCUUCCAGACAGUUUUGUCUGCGGAGUGGACACAGAGACAGUGAAGGUCGAAGACUGGCGCUGAAGGAGGUACUGGGUCUUGUCCUCCCUUCCCAUCUGCCCCGGCACCGCCGCCACGGCCCCCAAGCUUGCGGCGCUGACACCCCCGGGUUGCCACAGUGAUGGAUGACACAGCCCUCAGUUCUGCUGUCACAGUCCUGCACCUCUGCCGCCCGCCACGUGGGCCCCCCGUCAAAGAGUUUCUUUCGGGUCAGCCACACCUCACUGUCAUUUUUUUUCUUCAUCACUCUCCUUUAUUUAGCUCACAACUUAUUUUGUUUGGAGACCUUUCCAUUGCCCACGACAUACGAUUCGAAUCGGGCCCGGGCAUUAUGCGACAAAAUUCCCACAGCGUGACCUCAGUUUGCCAACACGUAUUCUAAACAGUGAAAGGCCUUUUAAUUUAGGGCCAAAGAUCCAUGGACAAAUCUAUCUCUCAAAUAAAUGAUCUGACUUGCACCGCCACCUUUAUCUUCCUUUUUAAUCCGCAACUUUGAUUCAGGAUGCCGAGCAACACGGUAACCCCGUCUGACAUCAUGUACCGAGCGCUUUGAUUCUGGACGAAGAGUGGGCCGCUUUUAUUACACUCGUUGAUAGCGCUAAAAAUGUAGUUUUAAAAUAUAAAUAAUAAUAAUAUGGGGUCACUGAUGAUCCUUCUUCAAUCCCUAACAGACUGCUUGUAAAAUGGUGAUGAGGUCAGGACUUAAGUCACUUGAAAUUUUAUGAAUGAGCCCAACUAGCUGGUUUUUUUUUCAUCCGUGUUAAACACCCACUGAAGUGAAACCUUUUUGUCAAUUUAGCCACUUAAAUUCAUAAAGUGUGCCAACAGGAGAAUAAAUAUUGUUAUCAUGACAACUAGGGGCAGAGUUAGGAGGAGCCACUUGUAAAGCCCACAGUGUAAGUUUGAACUUAGCCUCCUCGGUGUCAUGUAGAUAACAAACUUUUUCAUUUCAGCACUUUGAAAAAUACGUGUUUCUAUGUUCUCAACGUCAUGUGAUAUGCACUCAAGUUUGAUAGC
Syngnathus typhle (broad-nosed pipefish) is the source of this 1316-nucleotide long non-coding RNA. RefSeq lists it as uncharacterized. The transcript is spliced from 4 exons. NCBI's taxonomy places the organism in Eukaryota, Metazoa, Chordata, Actinopteri, Syngnathiformes, Syngnathidae. The record is from RefSeq and is a predicted model, not a curated record.